This is a long non-coding RNA of Daphnia carinata, 1270 nucleotides long. RefSeq lists it as uncharacterized. Lineage: Eukaryota; Metazoa; Arthropoda; Branchiopoda; Diplostraca; Daphniidae. The record is from RefSeq and is a predicted model, not a curated record. The transcript is spliced from 7 exons.
UACCAGAACUCUGAUCAGGGCGACCGAAACCCGAAUCCUAUUGCUAACUUCAUGACUGGAAUGAGAGCCCCUGAUGUGAGAUCUUCCAGGCAGAAUGUUAGCAACUCAACCUUCGGUUAGCACAUCUGCGAUGCAGAGAUCAGGUUCGUCAUUGAGAGGUGUCUGAAAAUAAAACAAGAAGCCCAUAUUAAAAUUGUAGGACAAAAUUUCUACAGUCAAAAUACUUACUGAACACCUGGUCAGUAUGGAAUGCUUAACAGGCAAAUGGGGAUGAAAGUAUAAGAUGCCCAAUGUAGAAAAUGGACUUGACAGCAUGUGUAGCUACCUUUGGUUUUGCACAUUCAGAACCUAAGGUUUUUUUGGUAUUGGUUAUUUCAAAGCAAUAAUAAUUGUGCUACAAAAAUUUGCAGUGCAUGCUGAACUGACCUCAUUUAAUAGAUGAGAAAAAUUUAUCUAAUAACAUUAAGGAACUCCAAAGAUGCUUUACAUUUACAACUGGUGAGGCUAAUGUUAUUAAUCCUCUACCUCCAUGUAUACAAAAAGCCGCAGUCCUUUAGCCAGGUGAAAAUAAUUUUAAUGUUAUUUCAACAAUGCUUGAGAAUCUUGAGAAGCUGUGUAGCGUCUCGUUACAUGAUGAACCGCGGAGUUACCAUUAUUGUGGAGAUGGUUAUAUUUGAUAAAACUCCUGGGAAAAAAAGUAUUUAGCUUUGUACAAUGGUUACCCGAAGGGAGUAAAAACAUCCAGACAUUCAUUCCUAGGCAAGAAAUGAAUUCUCUUUAUAUUAUUUUGAGAUUUAUGACUUUGUUUUCCGGUAACUUUCAGAUUUUAGAAAAUCAUUAACGCUUCACAAGCUAAUAAUAUACCUGUUUUCGCCCCCACUGCCUAAUUGAUGACGACUCGGCACUUACAGGAAAAUGCAGUACCCCAAGGAAGCCUUGUGUCGUCAUAGAUAAACUGUACAUUUUUUUUUCAAACUGGAAAGGAUCGUAUUGGACUUGUGCAGGAUGAUUAGAAUAUCAAAAGAAUUGGAACAGCGAGCAAAAGAUGGAAAAUGUGACGCUUAUUUUCAUGAAGUUAAACAAAGGCCAGAAGAGAAAAUUAGGCAUGUAAGAAGAAAUAUGAUGAAUAACUCUGAGAGGAAGGAUUUUGGCUUUUCUCUUUUGCUGCUGAUCUUUCACACGUUCCCAGUCAACUACUGAGGGUUUACGCCAAUUUAGUACGUCCUCGACAUCAAGAGGUUCAACUGAACUGGAAUGGAUAUCCAAUCAU